This 450-nucleotide ribosomal RNA is filed under the name uncultured bacterium. Its description in RNAcentral is "partial 16S ribosomal RNA". It matches the Rfam family "Bacterial small subunit ribosomal RNA", at positions 354 to 796 of the family's 1533-position model. The record is from RNAcentral.
GUGGGGAAUCUUCCGCAAUGGACGAAAGUCUGACGGAGCAACGCCACGUGAGUGAAGAAGGUUUUCGGAUCGUAAAGCUCUUUCGUUAGGGACGAACGUGCUCUUUGUGAAUAAUGAGGAGUAAUGACGGUACCUAAAUAAGAAGCCACGGCUAACUACGUGCCAGCAGCCGCGGUAAUACGUAGGUGGCAAGCGUUGUCCGGAAUUAUUGGGCGUAAAGCGCGCGCAGGCGGGAUAUCAAGUCUGUCUUAAAAGUGCGAGGCUCAACCUCGUGAGGGGACAGAAACUGGUAUUCUUGAGUGUCGGAGAGGAAAGUGGAAUUCCAAGUGUAGCGGUGAAAUGCGUAGAGAUUUGGAAGAACACCAGUGGCGAAGGCGACUUUCUGGACGAUGUCUGACGCUGAGGCGCGAAAGCUAGGGGAGCGAACGGGAUUAGAUACCCGGGUAGUCC